GAUGAACGCUGGCGGCGUGCCUAAUACAUGCAAGUCGAGCGAACAGAUGAGGAGCUUGCUCCUCUGACGUUAGCGGCGGACGGGUGAGUAACACGUGGAUAACCUACCUAUAAGACUGGGAUAACUUCGGGAAACCGGAGCUAAUACCGGAUAAUAUAUUGAACCGCAUGGUUCAAUAGUGAAAGACGGUUUUGCUGUCACUUAUAGAUGGAUCCGCGCCGCAUUAGCUAGUUGGUAAGGUAACGGCUUACCAAGGCAACGAUGCGUAGCCGACCUGAGAGGGUGAUCGGCCACACUGGAACUGAGACACGGCCCAGACUCCUACGGGAGGCAGCAGUAGGGAAUCUUCCGCAAUGGGCGAAAGCUUGACGGAGCAACGCCGCGUGAGUGAUGAAGGUCUUCGGAUCGUAAAACUCUGUUAUUAGGGAAGAACAAAUGUGUAAGUAACUAUGCACGUCUUGACGGUACCUAAUCAGAAAGCCACGGCUAACUACGUG
Molecule: ribosomal RNA, 497 nt
Filed under: uncultured bacterium
Lineage: Bacteria
Description: partial 16S ribosomal RNA
Rfam family: Bacterial small subunit ribosomal RNA
Source: RNAcentral